GGCCUCUGUAUAUGCUACCACUUACAGAUGAAUCCGCGUCCCAUUAGCCAGUUGGUGGGGUAAAGGCCUACCAAAGCGACGAUGGGUAGCCGGCCUGAGAGGGUGACCGGCCACACUGGAACUGAGAUACGGUCCAGACUCCUACGGGAGGCAGCAGUGGGGAAUCUUCCGCAAUGGGCGAAAGCCUGACGGAGCAACGCCGCGUGAGCGAAGAAGGUCUUCGGAUUGUAAAGCUCUGUGAUAUUGGACGAACAGUUUUCCUGUGUAUGAAUAAGCCACGGCUAACUACGUGCCAGCAGCCGCGGUAAUACGUAGGUGGCAAACGUUGUCCGGAAUUACUGGGCGUAAAGGGCGAGUAGGUGGUUUAUUAAGUCAGAAGUGAAAUUCUGCCGCUUAACCGGAGACUGCUCCUGAAACUGGUAGACUUGAGUGCAAGAGAGGGAAGUGGAAUUCCUAGUGUAGCGGUGAAAUGCGUAGAUAUUAGGAGGAACACCAGUGGCGAAGGCGACUUCCUGGCUUGUAACUGACACUGAGGCGCGAAAGCGUGGGGAUCAAACAGGAUUAGAUACCCUGGUAGUCCACGCCGUAAACGAUGAGUGCUAGGUGUCGGGGGUCAAACCUCGGUGCCGCAGCUAACGCAAUAAGCACUCCGCCUGGGGAGUACGGUCGCAAGACUGAAACUCAAAGGAAUUGACGGGGGCCCGCACAAGCGGUGGAGUAUGUGGUUUAAUUCGACGCAACGCGAAGAACCUUACCAAGGCUUGACAUCCCCCUGACCGGUCCGUAACGGGACCUUUCCUUCGGGACAGAGGAGACAGGUGGUGCAUGGUUGUCGUCAGCUCGUGUCGUGAGAUGUUGGGUUAAGUCCCGCAACGAGCGCAACCCUUAUCUUUAGUUGCCAUCAUUAAGUUGGGCACUCUAAAGAGACUGCCGAGGAUAACUCGGAGGAAGGUGGGGAUGACGUCAAAUCAUCAUGCCCCUUAUGAUCUGGGCUACACACGUGCUACAAUGGCGAUAACAAAGGGAAGCGAAAGGGUGACCUGGAGCAAACCCCAGAAAAAUCGUCCCAGUUCGGAUUGUAGUCUGCAACUCGACUACAUGAAGUUGGAAUCGCUAGUAAUCGCGAAUCAGAAUGUCGCGGUGAAUACGUUCCCGGGUCUUGUACACACCGCCCGUCACACCAUGGGAGUUGGAAGCGCCCGAAGCCAGUGACUCAACCGUAAGGAGAGAGCUGUCGAAGGUGAAGCCAAUGACUGGGGUGAAGUCGUAACAAGGUAACC
Molecule: ribosomal RNA, 1280 nt
Filed under: uncultured bacterium
Lineage: Bacteria
Description: bacterial SSU rRNA
Rfam family: Bacterial small subunit ribosomal RNA
Source: RNAcentral